UGCCCUAUCAACUGUUUUAAAAAGAUGGUUCUGCUAUCACUCUUGGGAUGGGACCUGCGGUGCAUUAGCUAGUUGGUAGGGUAACGGCCUACCAAGGCGAUGAUGCAUAGCCGAGUUGAGAGACUGAUCGGCCACAUUGGGACUGAGACACGGCCCAAACUCCUACGGGAGGCAGCAGUAGGGAAUCUUCCACAAUGGACGCAAGUCUGAUGGAGCAACGCCGCGUGAGUGAAGAAGGGUUUCGGCUCGUAAAGCUCUGUUGUUGGUGAAGAAGGACAGGGGUAGUAACUGACCUUUGUUUGACGGUAAUCAAUUAGAAAGUCACGGCUAACUACGUGCCAGCAGCCGCGGUAAU
This 355-nucleotide ribosomal RNA is filed under the name uncultured Lactobacillus sp. RNAcentral describes it as "bacterial SSU rRNA". It matches the Rfam family "Bacterial small subunit ribosomal RNA", at positions 167 to 524 of the family's 1533-position model. The record is from RNAcentral. Lineage: Bacteria; Bacillati; Bacillota; Bacilli; Lactobacillales; Lactobacillaceae.